AUGCAAAUGGGUCGGAGGCA
Molecule: unclassified non-coding RNA, 20 nt
Filed under: uncultured Syntrophomonadaceae bacterium
Lineage: Bacteria; Bacillati; Bacillota; Clostridia; Eubacteriales; Syntrophomonadaceae
Description: partial 16S-23S ribosomal RNA intergenic spacer
Source: RNAcentral